CGGGCUGCAGCCCCAACGCUUCCUGUUCGACGGAAAGAAACACAGCGAGGCAGCAGCAGCACGAAGCUGGGGGCACCCAGAGGACAGAGUUUGUGCCCCGCAGCCCCACGCUCACCCAGGAAACGUAACAGGUUGGAAAGCAAAGAUAAAGGACACGGUUGGGAAUUAGAGAGGGUAACUUCGGGCAGCGGCAGGAGGACGUAAGGUGUGCGCUCACCAAGAAGGCCUCGAAGCUUUGCUCAGCUCGGGGUGAGUAAUGGGCCGCGUGUGUCCUUCAGCCUUACCUUGGUUUACAGCAACUUCUGGUUAACCGAAGCGCUGCAAGGCGGCCUGAGGGAUGCCCAGGUGGGCGGUGGGGCCCCAGUGGGUGAGUGAGCCAUGGAUGGGAUCAGCGGGGUCAUUAUGGUAUGGAUAACAACACACGGAAAUAACCUGCUCGGCCUCUCAUAGCCCCAAUCCCCUUCUGCUGGAAGUGCAUUGUAAGAGCCACCCAAAAAGUGGAAACGCUCAGUAAACGUCGGGUAAAAUUAGAGAUGCUUCAGUAACUGUUGGAAGCUUCCCAGGAUGGGAUAUUCAGACAAACACAGCACAGGGAGCGCCGCCCAUCUCUCGGAAGCACCGGAUCGCCCCACUGCCCUGUGCUGCAGCAGUGCUGUGGUUUGCAGGCGCUUCCUCUGCCCUGUGCAGGAGCAGCAUGCUGGCUGGUGGCACACCCAGACCAAAGGAGAUGCUCAGUGCAGACUAACAAGCAUGGAAGUGUUAUACACAUAAA
RNAcentral lists this long non-coding RNA (772 nucleotides) under Gallus gallus (chicken). RNAcentral's name for it is "long non-coding RNA NONGGAT005428". The record is from RNAcentral. Lineage: Eukaryota; Metazoa; Chordata; Aves; Galliformes; Phasianidae.